AGUGAACGCUGGCGGUAGGCCUAACACAUGCAAGUCGAACGGCAGCACAGUAAGAGCUUGCUCUUACGGGUGGCGAGUGGCGGACGGGUGAGGAAUACAUCGGAAUCUACUUUUUCGUGGGGGAUAACGUAGGGAAACUUACGCUAAUACCGCAUACGACCUACGGGUGAAAGCAGGGGAUCUUCGGACCUUGCGCGAUUGAAUGAGCCGAUGUCGGAUUAGCUAGUUGGCGGGGUAAAGGCCCACCAAGGCGAUGAUCCGUAGCUGGUCUGAGAGGAUGAACAGCCACACUGGAAUUGAGACACGGUCCAGACUCCUACGGGAGGCAGCAGUGGGGAAUAUUGGACAAUGGGCGCAAGCCUGAUCCAGCCAUACCGCGUGGGUGAAGAAGGCCUUCGGGUUGUAAAGCCCUUUUGUUGGGAAAGAAAAGCAGCAGGUUAAUACCCCGCUGUUCUGACGGUACCCAAAGAAUAAGCACCGGCUAACUUCGUG
RNAcentral lists this ribosomal RNA (492 nucleotides) under uncultured bacterium. RNAcentral's name for it is "partial 16S ribosomal RNA". It matches the Rfam family "Bacterial small subunit ribosomal RNA", at positions 29 to 507 of the family's 1533-position model. The record is from RNAcentral.